RNAcentral lists this small RNA (795 nucleotides) under Pan troglodytes (chimpanzee). RNAcentral describes it as "processed transcript". Lineage: Eukaryota; Metazoa; Chordata; Mammalia; Primates; Hominidae. The record is from RNAcentral.
AAGUGUGGCUUGGAAUCCAGAUGGGAAGCGCUUUGUGACUGGAGGUCAGCGUGGGCAGUUCUAUCAGUGUGACUUAGAUGGUAAUCUCCUUGACUCCUGGGAAGGGGUAAGAGUGCAAUGCCUUUGGUGCUUGAGUGAUGGAAAGACUGUUCUGGCAUCAGAUACACACCAGCGAAUUCGGGGCUAUAACUUCGAGGACCUUACAGAUAGGAACAUAGUACAAGAAGAUCAUCCUAUUAUGUCUUUUACUAUUUCAAAAAAUGGCCGAUUAGCUUUGUUAAAUGUAGCAACUCAGGGAGUUCAUUUAUGGGACUUGCAAGACAGAGUUUUAGUAAGAAAGUAUCAAGGUGUUACACAAGGGUUUUAUACAAUUCAUUCAUGUUUUGGAGGCCAUAAUGAAGACUUCAUCGCUAGUGGCAGUGAAGGUAAAUUGUGUCCUUAUCAGUUUACAUAUGUUGAUAUUAAAGUCUGUAAAUCUCAAUUUAUGAAGGCAGUCAUGUCUCCAAGAAAAUUCAGGGUAGUAAGUUAAAAUUCUUUCAUUUAUCCAAUACACGGUUAAUUUCUCUCUGUAAUGACCUAAGCCCCUGUAUUAUCACAAAUUGUCACAUGCUGUCAUGUAUUACUUUCUCCUUUUCUGUAAUGACCUAAGCCCUCCAUAUUGUCAUGUAUUGUCACGGAUCAGCAGUGCUUAUUCUGACCACGUAGCAGUGUGUUUGGUGCAUGUGUCGAAUCAAGAUUUAGUUAAAUUAUUAUACUUUCAUAUGUUGACUUGUAUUUUCAUGGGACUGAUGGUUU